GAUGAACGCUGGCGGCGUGCCUAAUACAUGCAAGUCGAGCGAACGGACGAGAAGCUUGCUUCUCUGAUGUUAGCGGCGGACGGGUGAGUAACACGUGGAUAACCUACCUAUAAGACUGGGAUAACUUCGGGAAACAGGAGCUAAUACCGGAUAAUAUUUUGAACCGCAUGGUUCAAAAGUGAAAGACGGUCUUGCUGUCACUUAUAGAUGGAUCCGCGCUGCAUUAGCUAGUUGGUAAGGUAACGGCUUACCAAGGCAACGAUGCAUAGCCGACCUGAGAGGGUGAUCGGCCACACUGGAACUGAGACACGGUCCAGACUCCUACGGGAGGCAGCCGUAGGGAAUCUUCCGCAAUGGGCGAAAGCCUGACGGAGCAACGCCGCGUGAGUGAUGAAGGUCUUCGGAUCGUAAAACUCUGUUAUUAGGGAAGAACAUAUGUGUAAGUAACUGUGCACAUCUUGACGGUACCUAAUCAGAAAGCCACGGCUAACUACGUG
This 497-nucleotide ribosomal RNA is filed under the name uncultured bacterium. Its description in RNAcentral is "partial 16S ribosomal RNA". It matches the Rfam family "Bacterial small subunit ribosomal RNA", at positions 28 to 507 of the family's 1533-position model. The record is from RNAcentral.